This 254-nucleotide ribosomal RNA is filed under the name uncultured bacterium. RNAcentral's name for it is "partial 16S ribosomal RNA". It matches the Rfam family "Bacterial small subunit ribosomal RNA", at positions 524 to 776 of the family's 1533-position model. The record is from RNAcentral.
UACGAAGGGGGCUAGCGUUGCUCGGAAUCACUGGGCGUAAAGGGUGCGUAGGCGGGUUUUUUAAGUCAGAGGUGAAAUCCUGGAGCUCAACUCCAGAACUGCCUUUGAUACUGAAAGUCUUGAGUAUGGGAGAGGUGAGUGGAACUGCGAGUGUAGAGGUGAAAUUCGUAGAUAUUCGCAAGAACACCAGUGGCGAAGGCGGCUCACUGGCCCAUUACUGACGCUGAGGCACGAAAGCGUGGGGAGCAAACAGG